RNAcentral lists this transfer RNA (77 nucleotides) under Tissierellia bacterium. RNAcentral's name for it is "tRNA-Gln". It matches the Rfam family "tRNA". Rfam says of the family: Transfer RNA (tRNA) molecules are approximately 80 nucleotides in length. Their secondary structure includes four short double-helical elements and three loops (D, anti-codon, and T loops). The record is from RNAcentral. Lineage: Bacteria; Bacillati; Bacillota; Tissierellia.
UGGGGCGUCGCCAAGUCGGUAAGGCACAAGACUUUGACUCUUGCAUUCCAUAGGUUCGAGUCCUAUCGCCCCAGCCA